GUAAAUGCCUAGGUCUUUUAAUGAUUUUAAAAAACGAAAGAACUUGUAGCUUAAGUAAUUUGCGCUCAUUUUUCACCAAGAUACUGAUUUUAGUGUAAUUUCGGAAACAUGAAUGCAAUAUUUUCAUCCAGUCAGAAGACUUUUGUUAAAUAGCCACCCCGCUGCUGAAGGAAUUAAAUGGUUGUCAUAACAACCACCUGCGUGCAGAGGAGCUACAUGCAGUGAGUAUGUCACAUACAAGCAAAAUGGCAGAAUACACAAAGUAAGGUGCUUGGAAAUGACUUUACCAAGGAACCUGACUGAGUCCACUGCGCUGACGGAGGAGCGACACUGCAUGAGGGGGGUGGAGCACCGUGCUAUCAACUUGUCAAUUUCCUGUCUGUACGCUGACUCAUCCCCAAAGUUGUCAUCAGCAAAUUUCAAUCGUGCUUUUUGGUGCAGCAAAGAGAGGGAAGUGAGGUGGGAACAUUGCAGGAUGGACACUGUGAGUCUCAGAAGCGUGACAGGUGGCUGGGGAAGAUGGAUUCUGGGCUGCAGACUUUGGUGUCGAUUCUACAGUGGAACUUGUUAAGUUCACAAAUCAGCUGUUGUUCAAAAAUAGGGGGGAUUUGGGUUUAUAGCUGUUCACCUUUUGCUAUGUAAGUCAUGGUUCAUCAUUAUUUUAGCGUACCCAGCAAUAGGUAAACAGCUGUAUUCAGCAAGUAUAGAUGAAGUACUCUGCUUGGGUUGCCUUCAGUUUUUAAAUUGACCAGUUCAAACACUGGUUGCCUUUGUGUAGUCUGGACACUGGUCCAUCUAGUCAUCUCUAUUAGCCCUUAAUGCAGUGACCUUUGUAUCACCAUUGGAGAUUGGCUAAACAUCUGAGGGGGUGUGGCCUUAGGAGGUCAUCAGGGGUCACCAGAGAGGAGCUGAUAAUGGAACAGUAUAGGUCCGCUUCCCAUUUUGGUGGUAAUAAUGGUGGUAAUAACGGAGUUUUAUGACCUUAAAUUAGCUGUAAACGGUCCUCUUUCCCAUCAUCUGAGCAGGCUUCCUGAAAAGUAUCCUUACCAAUAGUGGAGGCUUUAUGCCAGCCUAUUUCUGUAACCAUCGAUAAAAGAUGAAAAAUCCAUUAAAAGAUUUACACAUUAACGUGAUUAAACAUCAUCGGAGGUCUCAAACGUGAGAGUGAUCAAUGUCAUACAGUUUGACAUACGGGUGUAAGAGUAAGUGAGUCAGAUCGUUAAGCCAAUGUGGACGUCGAUGUCUUAGGUGUGUCCCCCCCCCCCACCAUGUUCCCCUGCUGCUGUUGUUCCUGAUACCUGGUCAGCUUCACGGAGGCUGGAGUGCAGCUGUGUUCAGGUGGAGACCUGAGAGCAGAAGUGAGGAGCCCCAUGACUUUUGGCUGAUCUAUCAUCUCUCUACUGCUCAGACAGAACUUUCUGAGGCUGUCUCUUUUUGAAUUCGAUUUAUCACCUAGUAAAGCUACAUUUUCCAUUUAUGUUCUUAAGACGUAGCUCUCCUAUACAGGCAGUCUCCAGGAUACAAACAAGGUCCAUUCCCUAAGUCUGUCUUUAAGUCGAAUUUGUGAGUCAGAGGAAUAAUACAGGGCAUAAUAAUAGUAAUACAGUGAUAAUAAAAGUAAUUCCAUGUGGGGUACUGUGCUCUACUUCAAGCCAGCGAAAUGCUAAAGCCGCGCAAUGUUUUCACGAGCAUCACAAAGUGUGAAGGUUCGUUAUUAUGAAUCAUUGUAUUUCAUCUGAAUUUUUAAUAUAAUAGACUUUAUUGUUUCUUAAGCAUGAGUUGUCUAUAAGUCUGACAUUCUUAACCCGAGGACUGUCUGUACGGUUCAAUGAGCUGUUAUGUAACGUAUACACACAAAUAAGUAGCUUAAAUUGUCAUUUUUAUAUAAUGACUUUUAUCAAGGUUAUAUAAACCUUAUGGAGGGAAGGUUUAGCUUAUCAAGUUUUUU
This is a long non-coding RNA of Paramormyrops kingsleyae, 1948 nucleotides long. RefSeq lists it as uncharacterized. The record is from RefSeq and is a predicted model, not a curated record. NCBI's taxonomy places the organism in Eukaryota, Metazoa, Chordata, Actinopteri, Osteoglossiformes, Mormyridae.